Molecule: long non-coding RNA, 8732 nt
Filed under: Prunus persica (peach)
Lineage: Eukaryota; Viridiplantae; Streptophyta; Magnoliopsida; Rosales; Rosaceae
Description: long non-coding RNA (PPER_LNC006674)
Source: RNAcentral
UGGAGUUUGUUUCAGAAAAGAUGACAUGAAUCUCAGCAGAGCAGAAAGCCAGAAAGAGCAGGAACCGCAUGGUUGCCAUGGUGGUGAAGGAGCAAGCAAAUCAAGAAAACUGGUGUGUCUGUGAGGCUGAUCAGCUAGUAAGCAGAGGUCAAAAAAAGCACAUUUCUAUUUACCCCUGAUGGUCAAAAAAGCACUUCGCAAAGACUUCCCUCCACGCAGACACACCCUUCAAUUCAAUUCCUUCCACUCUACCAACUACACCACUUGAAGAUUUUUAUUUAAUGAGUCCUUGACAGCAUGCAUGCAUGUAUGUACGUGCGCAUGUACAAGUUCCGACCAAUUCAGAGCAAGUUUUGCUUUGAAAGUUUUGCGGAUGUACAAACAUAGUUAAGCAGAAACAACUCUCUCAUGAGCAAAGCUAGCAUCUUUCGAAUGGGAACAAAGCUACACAAUUCUGAAUGUACGCCUAAAGUCUCCACUUGCAUUGAUAUAAGAGAGAAUUCAACUAAGUCAUUCAAUGGGUACAUUUGGCUUUAGGCGAAAAUGGGUCCCAGAAGCUGACAUGAAAAUCAAGGCUCUCGGGGGUGCCCGGGACGUAUUCAUGGUUUGAUCCACUUUCAUGUUGAAUGGAUGAAAAGGUUUUCAUUUUCGUAAGAAAUGGAUCAAGACAAGAUGAUCGUUUUCACAAAACAAAAAUCUAAUUCAAACAGUCAAUUUCUAUGGUGCGAAGGGUCAAAGGUUAUUCUACAAAAGAUAAAAGUAUAUUUUUUGUGCCAAGGGGUCAAAGGUUAAUAAACAAACUAGCCACAAAUUGCCGUCUAGCCAUACCAAUAAGAACCUCAAUUGAAGUUUUACCAAUUUCAUAAAAAAUAUGAGCUACAUGAAUCAAAGACUUAAUAUCCGGCAACUCAAUUGAUUAAGAGCAUUUAAAUUUAAACCCGAGAUUUUGUGUUAGAUUCUCCUCUUUCCAGAGGACACAUUGGGACAAAUUCUACUUCAGUUUGGAUGGAAAAGAAUCCUUUGUGUCCCAAAGCAAACGUAGCCUGGCCUACAUCUGGCACACCUAAAAUUAUAGUAGCAAAACCAACCAUGAACAAUAAUUAUGAUAUCUUACAGCUUCUCCUAUUCCAGUUUCUGAAUUCAGUAUCCUUCCUUUCCUAGUGCCUUCAAUAGUGAGUUUGACCUAAUUACCUUUGAGAGGGCAAUCCCAAAGCUAAUAGAAUGUUAUGAAUCCUAUGAAACAAUUCAAUUGGGUAUCUCCUUAAAGUUGUAUCGAGGCAUUUUCAGAUAACAUCCAUACAACAUGAAAGGCCGAAGAUGACAUGUUUAAAAAAAUAUAUAUUAAAAAAUAAAAGAUUAAUGGAUUUAAUGUGGCUGUCGCUACUGUUGGAGUUAUGACUAUACAAUAAUACAAUGCCACGUAUGACAGGACAUAUUUGUCUGUAGGUUGGCUUCAUUCAUGGCGUCGAAGACGAAAGACAGAGACUAAUACAAUGCCAUGUAUGAUCGGGACAUAUUUGUAUGUGCGUUGAAGACGAAAGAAAGACUAGCGGAGUGAAGGGGUAAGAUUUUUUGUCAAAUGAUCAAAACCACACAAUCUCAAUUAAUUAUAGUUAGUCAGUUGGGCUGAGGCGUUUGCAUGCGGAACUUUCAAAAGCACGAGUUCAUGACAUUGGCUUGUUUGAUAGAAGAAGCUUCACCAAUUAAAAUCUGAUCACAUGUAAACAAAGAACAAAUGGGAUAUCAAGGAGAAAGAACAAAUCUAAUCACCAAUUAAGUUACACCUUGAGGCCCAACACUUUGUGGAAUAAAGAAGGGUUUUGAAGCCUAUUAAGGGGUCCUAUUUGUUUCCUUUUAUGCGUGAACCGAUUUGGUGGGCUUGGAAGAUAAGUCAAGUCGGCCCUUGGUAAUGAGUAGAGACGACUUGACCUAGCCCUAUAUAACCUUAAGGUCAUGCUCUCAUCAGACAUGUUCUCUAACCUAUUCUCAUCAUAAAGAGAGAGCUGAAACUAGUGGCGAAGCCAGAAUUUCAUGUGUGUGAGGGCAUCUUACAAAUUAUAAAGAAUCAAAAAUUCAAACUCACAAUACAUUUGAAAAAUAGUGUAUAUAUACAUUGUAAACUUAAGUAAAUGGAGUAAUAUAUUAAAGUAAAAGGGCAAAGACAUUCACUUAAGUGUUGAAAAUGGAAAUAAGGUAAUCUGUACACCUGGAGUGCACCGCCACCAGCUGAGCAAGGGGGCAAUUUGAAGUACCUCCUUGUACCCACUGGCGGACCUAGAAAUUUUUUAGCGGAGGUGCAAUAUUGACUAAGUAUGAAAAAUGGUUUUUUGGAAUAAUCAUUUUUUCAAGAUAAUUUUUGACGGCUUUUAUUCCUUAUACAUCAAAUAAGAAAACUUGAUUUUAUGGGAUUUUAGUAUGAAAUAUAUAUUAACUUAAUGAGCCACCAGCUGAGCAAAUGGGCAAUUUGAAGUACCUUAAUAGAUCCGCCACAAUACAUAAGGGUACAUAUCAAAAUGUAAAGUAUUUUAAAUAAUAUACAUAUAGAAAUACAUAACAGUAUAUUAUCUUUAAAAUAUAAAAAAAAAAAUGAGUAGGGGCCCGGGACCACAUUGGUCCCAGUGUCGCUCUGCCCCUGGCUGAAACAGAUUCUAAGAGAGAGCAGAACUCUUGAGCCGUUCCUGUUCUUGCUAGGAUUGUUGUUGCUACAGAUUGGAUGAGUUAAGAGGUUGUGUACUCUAGGAAGAUGGCUCCAGGUAUGUCUUCGUGUCUCUACGUAUUUCAGAUUGUGUGAAAGAUCUUGAAUAUCUAUAAUAUAGAAAUCUAAUAGUUGAUAUCAGAGCACAUGGUUAUUCACACACACUGAAAUCGUUGUUCAAGCAUGCCUACUCUUACUGUUUCUGUAUGCGAAUUUGUUUUUGUAUGCGAAUAGAUGCCGUGACAAAUAUCAUUACUGUUAUCACUUUUUGAUUUCAAUAUUGAUCUAGUGGUGGUAGAGUUGGCCCCGUAUUUGAACUGAAUCAAUUGAGGAAAUUGAAGAUUUCUAUAAAGGAAAGGCUACUUUUAUUCAGAAAACUCGAAAGGAUUGUCAACCAUUGAUGUGUGCAUGAAUGGUCGAGAAAACCCUUUUCAUUGUAUAUAUGAUAUUCUUUAAACAAACUAAACAAACAGAAUCCAGAUGGUAAAACUUGGGAAAAGCAGUGAGUCCUAACACAACACAAUUCUGAAGGUGAUCAUGGUACAAAACUCAAAGUAGUAAAAUUUCGAUGCCUUCUUUUAGGUCUUACUAGAACUUCCUUGCACCCAAUCCAAAAAAUAAAAUUAAAAAUAAGAAAAACUUUGUAGCAUUCGAGUUUGAAGCCCAUAGGAACAUUGUAACAUAACACACUAAAUUUCUAUUUGGCAAUUGAAAUGACAGACCACUAUAUAUUCUUUUCCUGUAUCUACUUACAUAUAUGGAUAGAGAAGAGAAGGUACAAUUACAAAAGAAGAAAUUAACUCUGCUGCAGGCCUUUGCUACUACUUGGGUUCAAUCUUCGCCGAAACUGCGUAUCCACCACUGUAAUCAAAGGCACCAGUGCUGUCAUUCACUUCCUUUUUCGGCAAGCCAUCGUUGUAUGGAUGCUUAGGAGCUCCUUUUGAUGCUGCAAAUUCUGUGGCUGAUGAAGAUGCGGAUGUUGAGUUUGUGUUCAUGCCAUCAUUCUGCAGAAUGGUUUCAAUAGCCUUCACAAGCUCACUCAUUGUGGGGCGGUCUGCAGCUGAUUCUUCAACGCAUUGCAGGGCCAGCUCCAGGAAUCUCCCAAACCCAAUAAGGGUUCCAGAGUUUCGAAUGCUUCGAUCCAUUAACUCCCUCAAACCAUAGUGUUCUUCAUCAUUCUUGUCCAUCAUCAAUCGUACCUCACGGACGAUGUAUUUUCCCUUCUCAAUAGGCUGCCUAGCCGUUAUCAAUUCAAGCAUCACCACUCCAAAGCUGUAUACAUCACUCUUCUCAGUUAACUGUUGAGUCAUGUAGUAUUCAGGAUCAAGAUAUCCCUGCAAGAACAAAUAGAAACUUAAAGAGUAAAAACUCAAGAGUGUGUCAAUGGGAUGAAUAUAUGUUGAAAUGCUAAUAACGUAAAGCUUACCAGUGUGCCUUUGACCUGAGUUGAGACAUGCCCUUUUCCACCGUCAGCUACCAGCUUGGACAAGCCAAAAUCUGCAACCUUGGCGGUUAAAUGUUCGUCUAAUAGAAUGUUGGUGGACUUGACAUCUCUGUGAAUUAUAGGAGGAUUUGCAAGCUCAUGUAGGUAAGCUAGUCCUCUUGCCGAGCCAAGAGUGAUGCGGAGUCUCCUCUUCCAAUCAAGAUGAAUACCAGAUCUCCCUGCAAUUCAUAUUUAAGCAAAGGUGAAGUUGGUAACUAUGUCUAUUGCAAACAAGUUAUCUCUAUGCAAUAUGAAAUAGCUGAGAGUAAAAUCUUUGAACUAACCUGACAAGCUUUCCCUGAGUGUUCCAUUAGGCAUAAACUCAUAAACCAGCAUCUGUUCUCCUUGUUCAAAACAAAAUCCCAAAAGGCCAACAACAUUUUUGUGAUGAACUCGCGAGAGCAACUCGAUUUCAGUCUUGAACUCAAGGCCACCCUGCAUUGAUCCUUGCUGAGCUCUUUUGAUGGCCACCACUUGUCCAUCAGAAAUCAUUCCCCUGUAAACCUAUGGACAACCAACCAAAAGGUUUUUAAAAAAAAAAAAAACAUCCUUUACCUUGAAGCAGAAUUUCAUAGAUGUUACUGAAAUACUUGAAUUAAUAUACCUUCCCAUAUCCGCCAGAUCCUAUCUCAUUACUGUCAGAGAAAUUAUUUGUGCACUUCUUAAGUUCAUCAUAAGAAAACCAUCUUGCUCCCUUUAACUGUGGUGCACCACCACUAUCUUUUCCGCUUGGUGCCCAAGAAGCUAGAAGAUAGAGGAGUGAUAUAAGCAAACCAACUUCUAAUGUCAAUGACAGAAUUUCAAUGUACCCAAUCAUAAACAACAAGAAUAAUUAAUUACCAAAAGGUCGGCUUAAUCCAAUGGCUCUUUCUGCACGUUUCUUUUGCCUGAUGGCAUAUAUUCCUACUACCACGAGGCCCAUUACAAGAACUACGCAACUAACUGAUAUCCCAAUAAUAACACCAGUGCCCAUAGAACUCUUAUUCCCACCUGAAACAAUUUUGGGUUUUUAUUGUCAGUUUAAUCAAUCUUCUAAUGCAGGGAAAUGGCAUGCGAAGUAACAAUGUGAUUUAAAUUACCUGGGAAAGUAUAAGGAGCUGGAAUAAAAUAAUAGGGUCCAAACUCCUCCGGUGGCUUGUAAGUUUGGUUGCUCAAAUCAAAACCAAUCCUUAUAAUCUCUGACCUAUUAAAAUAUAUUCCUGUAGGUGGAAAGAGUGCCAGAUGAAUUUGAAGAUAGUCAUUAAUGUCAAAGAAAGGGUUUUCAAGAGAAACGGAACCAGGAGUGAGGCCAAGUUUAUCCCAUAGACUCAUUUCUAGUGAGUGAAACGUAUUCACAUUUGACAAUUCCCUGAAAGAGGGUGCUCUGAAAUACAAUGUUCCUUCAAAAGGAUAUGCACAUUGACAACUCUGAGGGCUGAGCUUCUGAUUAUCGGGGCAUGUAAUGCGUGCACAAUUUGAGCUAGUAGUAUACGUUUCUGUAUCUUGUUGCGGAAGCUGACAGAAUGAAUUUGAGCUAGUUCCAUUGGUGCAAACUGGGUUCCCUACAAGUCUGCAAUAUUUAAAAAUGACAACUAAGAAUGGUGUUGAAAAAUAUACAACCAUAGAAAAUCAAGAUCAAGGCCCAUGAACUGUCUCACAUUAAUGUAUGUUUGUAUUCAUAACCCAGAGUUAUUUUAGGAAUCUGAUUGUUCUGCAGAUCAACAAGCUGCAGUUGUGGACUGAUGCUAUCACCCAAGUUCAAUGUAUCGUUAAACGCAUUGUUUUUCAGUUUCCUGUCAAGGGUUAGAAAAAAACAUGAAUGGCAAGUUUCCUAAAAUUACAGUCAAAACUUGAUGCUUUCUUCAGUAUUCUCCUUAAACUUACACUUGCUGCAAUGAUGCGAUGCCGAACAUCUUUUCUGGCACAGUCCCUUCAAGUGCUCCAAAUUCUAAAACGCUGUGUUCCAUAAAAGUAGAGAAUUUCAACAAAAAAUUACAACAAAUUUUCAGGGUGUCCUUUUCCAAGACUCAUUCAUAGAUACUAAGACAUUUUUGUGUAACCUCCUAAGGACUUACAUAGUGGUGAUUGAGGGUAAGUUCGAGAACCAAAGUGGAGCUUCUGAUGGGUCAAAUGAGUUGUUACUCAGGUCUCUGAAGUAAAAUCAUUAGGAUUUAUCAGUACAACAAAACAACAACUUGCAGGAAACUUGAAACUUGAAAUGACAGCUCCAUGCCACUACUCACACAUAAUUGAGGGAAAUCAUUCCAGUUAAGUCCGGUAGAGGGCCUGACAAAUUGUUGUGGGCCAAAUUUCUGGAAGAUAACAAAAACUCAUUUGAAAGAUGAUUAAGAAUAAUUAAGAUUAAGGUAACUGUUAACAGCACAUUAGAGUAUCCUCUUAGAGACUUGAUACUCACAGUUCAUUGACAUUUGUUAGGUUGCUGAUAUUUGAGGGGACAUUUCCUGUCAGAUCAUUUCUAUCAAGCCGACUGUUGCAAACAAGAAGGUUUUGAAUCCAAUAAGUGUGAAGAAGCAGAUACUUAUAUGUGAAAGAAUAACAAAAUGGAGCUGUUUUUGUACUCACAGAACCUCAAGAGUCUGAACGAGUGCUAUGGUUGAUGGAAUAUCCCCAGUAAAUUGAUUAUCAUCAAACAAACUGCAGUUGAAGAAUGACAAGCAGUUAGAUAAAUAAUAGUAUAGAACAUAAACUGAUAGAUGGCAUCUGGCCAACUUAAAAAAUGAUUGAUGGGAUCAACUUACAUGUGUAUCAGUAUCAUCUCAGAGCUGAAAAGUCUGGGUGGAAUGGUACCUGAAAGCUGGUUCUUGUUGAAAUGGCUGCAUGUCCAUAUUAUCAGUUUAAUGUUUAUGCAAUAAUCCCUAUUAGAAUUUCAUUUUUUCACAAUGGAGAGAGUUUGGGAAAUGGAAAAAAUACUUACAAAUGUUUAGCCUUCAAUAGUUUGUCUAAGCCCGAGGUAACGGGGGUUGAAAUUGGUAGAGUUCCAGUCAACUGAUUGUCUGCCAGGUCCAACCAGAAAAGUUUGGAGAGUUUACCCAAAGAAGGAGGUAUUUUACCAGUAAAGUUAUUCGUAUUCAGAGCCCUGAAAAGAACAAAAGAUUUAUAUAAAGUUGGGAAAGAAAAAACUUAAAAUGGUUUGCACUAACAGUAUGAUUAUCAAUUCAAUUCUUACAAGAAAGUUAGCUCUCCAAGAUUGCCCAAUUCAUCUGGAAUAUUGCCACUGAAGCCGCAGCCAGCUAGGAUCCUAAAAGAUGAAAAGAGUCUUGUAUACUUAUCCAAUAUAAAAUCUUAUAUUGCAUAUACAAAGUUCAAACGGUGCAAAUAUGAAAAUUGCUUCUCAAUUUGUUCUUACAGGAUAUUUAACUUGCUCAGAUCUCCUAAUCGUGGAGACAGAGAACCCGUGAGGCCUUUGUUGAAUGAAAGGUCCCUGCAAUGUUAACGUUUCUACUUCGUUACAAAAAGGAUGCCAUGCUAAUCAAAGAUUGAGUGAUAACAAAAUAAUUGAUGCUGCAAAAGAAAUAUGUUUUAUGCAUAUGUUUACAUACUGAAUCUGUUGCAUUGCAUCUGGGUUCAAUUCAUAAUGUGCUGCAAACAUAAUGCUGGUACAAAGAGGAGCAAUUAUACUCACAAGGAUCUUAAUUCAGAGAGUCCCCCGAUAUCGCCUUCAAUAUGUCCUUUCAAGUCCAUUGCUGAUAAUCCCCUGCACAUAAAAAAGUGCAAGGUUGAAAAUUUGUGUAAGAAAGUAAGUCACCAAUGCCCAGAACUACAAGGAUCCCAUGAAAAUUCAAAGAUGAACAAUGCUCACAAUGCGGUCACCCUCGAAUUGUUGCAGGUGACUCCUUCCCAGCUCAUUCCACAGGGAUCAUUUGACUUCCAGCUGGGUGGAAGAUUCGUCCAUGCCCCCUUCAAGGAUAUGAAAACAGCAGCUGGACCAACAGACUUACAAAUCAAUCUACUACCUUAACACAAAGUUUGUACACACCUAUGUGCAGGAUAUUCAACUUACAAUCAAAAUUUAGCAAAAACAUUAAGAAAAGCUUGCAUUAAACACCAACUAAAAUGACUAAUUACCAAGUUUGCAUGCAAAAACAUGAGAAACAGGAGGAUCAACAUGAUAUUGCAAAGUCUUUCCUAAGUCAACGCAUAUCCAGGCCAAAGCUCAAACUACCAAAACCCCAAUUUCCCAUUAACUAGGAAAUCAAUAAUGGACAAAUAAACAUUUAGAUUUGAGACCAUACCAUCACCGGGGUCUGUUUCAGAAAAGAUCAUAUGAAUCCCAGCAGAGCAGAAAGCCAGAAAGAGCAGCAACCGCAUGGUUGCCAUGGUGGUGAAGGAGCAAGCAAAUCAAGAAAACUGGUGCCUCUGCGAGGCUGAUCAGCUAGUAAGCAGAGGUCAAAAAAAGCACAUUUCUAUUUACCCCAGAUGGUCAAAAAAGCACUUCCAAAGACUACCCUCCACACAGACACACCCUUCAAUUCAAUUCCUUCCACUCUACCAACUACACCACUUUAAGAUUUUUAUUUAAUGAGUCCUUGACAGCAUGCAUGCAUGUAUGUACAU